RNAcentral lists this transfer RNA (69 nucleotides) under uncultured Mailhella sp. It matches the Rfam family "tRNA". Rfam says of the family: Transfer RNA (tRNA) molecules are approximately 80 nucleotides in length. Lineage: Bacteria; Pseudomonadati; Thermodesulfobacteriota; Desulfovibrionia; Desulfovibrionales; Desulfovibrionaceae. The record is from RNAcentral.
CUUGUAGCUCAGUCGGAUAGAGCAACUGCCUUCUAAGCCGUAGGUCGGGAGUUCGAAUCUCUCCAGGCG